GAUGUAGAACGUAGCGAAAUGCGAUAAGUAAUGCGAAUUGCAGAUCUCCGUGAGUCAUUGAAUCUUUGAACGCACAUUGCGCCCUCGGGUAUUCCCGAGGGCAUGCCUGUCCGAGCGUCAUUAUCCAACCAUCAAGCUCGGCUUGCGGUUGAGCCCCGCACCGUCCCCGGGACGGUGGGCUCGAAACAUGUUGGGCGCCCGUGAGGUUGUCGGUGCAGCGAGCUCUCGAGCACGUGCCGGGCAACCGCUCUGGGCGUCGGCCAGCCCCCCCAUUUUCUCAGGUUGACCUCGGAUCAGGUAGGAAUACCCGCUGAACUUAAGCAUAUCAAUAAGCGGAGGA
RNAcentral lists this unclassified non-coding RNA (340 nucleotides) under soil metagenome. RNAcentral's name for it is "partial contains 5.8S ribosomal RNA, internal transcribed spacer 2, and large subunit ribosomal RNA". The stretch from base 1 to 120 matches the Rfam family "5.8S ribosomal RNA", at positions 35 to 154 of the family's 154-position model. The record is from RNAcentral.